Polyodon spathula (Mississippi paddlefish) is the source of this 444-nucleotide long non-coding RNA. RefSeq lists it as uncharacterized. The record is from RefSeq and is a predicted model, not a curated record. NCBI's taxonomy places the organism in Eukaryota, Metazoa, Chordata, Actinopteri, Acipenseriformes, Polyodontidae. The transcript has 3 exons.
AUUUGAGUCAACAAAAACUCCUAGGUCUUUUUCAUAGAUUCCUUCUCCAAUUUCAAUAUCUCCCAUAUGAUAGAGAGCGGCUGCUCUUGAUCCAGGUACUGUCUGAACACCCAGCCUGGGUGAGGCCUCUUCAUAUGGCUGGAACUCUAACCAAGAGGCUCCAAUACUGUCGCUGCAGCUCCAGCUGGCCAGGACCCCCGAGUGCAUGUAAAGGAGAUCACCAUCGGCCCCCUGACCGUGGUGCAUGUGACCCGAGACCAUGCUGUCGUGCUCAGUAAGGAGUCCCUGUACCACCCCCUGCAGCUUGUGGACGUGCCGGUCUCCGCUGUGGCUCUGGCUCUCUCCUGUGCUGUCCUGUUGGCCGUGUUCCUGAAGAGGCGCUCCCAGUCUACUGACAAACUGCUUGCUGUGUCUUCAUAAUGUGUUGGAAUAAUAAAAGCCUUG